CUAUGGCUCAAUCGCUGUACCACCUUCUGGUGUUUUAUCGUUGUCCAGAGAAUAACAGAUCUGUGUGAAGCACACAGCAGAAUCUGAUUCUCACAAUGUUUUUUUUUAUACAAUUGCAGAUAACAGCUUGGAGCGAAAACGACUUGAUGCUGGAGAGUAUAAGUGAUAGAAGUUACGAGGAGACUCAUCCAGGUUUGGCUAUCCGUCCCAAGCACUGGACCACAAAAAUAUGGAGAUGGACCAAAAUUUGGCGUGCAGGAAAUAAAGGUAGUCUCAGAAGAAAAAAGAAAACACACACAAAAAAAAGAAAAGAAAAAUCAUGCGUAUUCUGGUAAAGUCACUGGACCAGAUUUUGCUAAGGAAAAUCUAGAUGAUAUGCCUGAGGGGUCUUUCUUUCUGACUUUAGUCUAGAGAGCCACCCUGACUCUAGUUUUCUGAGGGGAAUGAGGAUUGGUGGUGUGACAGGAAAAAAAAUAUUUUCUAGGCACAGCACUAUGUUCAUGUUUUGACAAGCAGUUGUGUUCCCUCUCGAUGCCAUGUUUGUGUGCAUGGACAGUGGGGUGUGUCUAUAUGUGAAUUUAAGUGGUGUGAUUGUGUGCAUGUCUGUGUUUCCCCUAGAGUUAUAUCUCCCUUACACAGCAAACCUGCAAGUGUCAGCUUUCUCCAUUAAUAAUCCCUUCACCAUUGCUCCCUUGGGCAUAUCUGUCUUCUAGCUGGGUGUACUACAAUUCAGUUCUGAUGAUCACCACACAGACUGUAUCUGAUCCCACAAGUCCAGGACAAAACCUUCCACCUGACUGCCCUUACUUGAGAUACCAGCUGCACUUUACGGAUGUGCAGGCCACUGUGAAUUCAGAGAUUACCAACACUGCCACCCUAAGACUCAAUAAUUCACUAGAAAUACCUCACAGAACUUAGGAAAACACUACAUUUACUAUUCGCUUAUAAAGGACACACCUAGGGCAAGGUGUAUGGGGGGAAGGUGGCGGGGAGCAGGGUCCUAGAAGCAUAGCUUCCACGCCCUUUCUCCUGGGAGUCACAGGGUGUCUUCCCUUCAGCCCAUCAAUUGUUCACAAACCUGGGAGUUCCACUGAGCUUUGGUGUUCAGGGUUUUUAUUGGACUUUCAUUGUAAGUAGACAUGAUUGAUUAAAGACUUGGCUAUAUGACUGAAGUCAGUCUCUAGUCCCCACCCCCACCUUCCUGGAGGUUGGUUGGCCCAAACAACCCUCUCAUAACGUGGUUGGUCUUUCACUCUCAUCCAUAAGCUGUCCAGGGCCCACACUGAGCCCCCUCAUUGGCAUAACAAAGGCAAUCUUAUGCAGGAAAUUUCAAGG
Molecule: long non-coding RNA, 1335 nt
Filed under: Piliocolobus tephrosceles (Ugandan red Colobus)
Lineage: Eukaryota; Metazoa; Chordata; Mammalia; Primates; Cercopithecidae
Description: lncRNA (ENSPTEG00000009151.1)
Source: RNAcentral